This 25-nucleotide non-coding RNA is filed under the name Cricetulus griseus (Chinese hamster). The record is from RNAcentral. RNAcentral also lists the same sequence under 1 other name. Lineage: Eukaryota; Metazoa; Chordata; Mammalia; Rodentia; Cricetidae.
UGUCCUGGAACUAACUCUGUAGACC